CACGGACCAAGGAGUUUAGCGUGUACGCAAGUCAUUGGGUAAAUAAAACCCAUAGGCGAAAUGAAAGUAAAGAGUAGAGACUUGUAAAAAGUUUACUUUUUACAAUCUUCUCUUGAGGGAAGAUGGAAAUAUCAUACAGCAAUGUAUGAAAUUUUCCCGCACUCCCAGGGCGCUUGAAUCUUGCUUUGCAAGUCGAUGCGCACCUAGAGCGUACACGCUGAUACCCGAAAGAUGGUGAACUAUGCCUGGCCAGGACGAAGCCAGGGGAAACCCUGGUGGAGGUCCGCAGCGAUUCUGACGUGCAAAUCGAUCGUCGGAGCUGGGUAUAGGGGCGAAAGACCAAUCGAACCAUCUAGUAGCUGGUUCCCUCUGAAGUUUCCCUCAGGAUAGCUUGCACUCGGUUGAGACGAGUCUCAUCCGGUAGAGCGAAUGAUUAGAGGCAUUGGGGUCGAAACGACCUCAACCUAUUCUCAAACUCCAAAUAGAUGAGAUCCCCGGCUUUCUUAAAAGUGAAGCCGUGGGAAUAGGAUCAGAGUGCCAAGUGGGCCAAUUUUGGUAAGCAGAACAG
RNAcentral lists this ribosomal RNA (568 nucleotides) under Opisthacidius sp. 00052199. RNAcentral's name for it is "eukaryotic LSU rRNA". It matches the Rfam family "Eukaryotic large subunit ribosomal RNA", at positions 660 to 1152 of the family's 3401-position model. The record is from RNAcentral. Lineage: Eukaryota; Metazoa; Arthropoda; Insecta; Hemiptera; Reduviidae.